CGGCACCUGUCUUCGGAUAGAAGCGAGUGGCGAACGGCUGAGUAACACGUGGAGAACCUGCCCCCUCCCCCGGGAUAGCCGCCCGAAAGGACGGGUAAUACCGGAUACCCCGGGGUGCCGCAUGGCACCCCGGCUAAAGCCCCGACGGGAGGGGAUGGCUCCGCGGCCCAUCAGGUAGACGGCGGGGUGACGGCCCACCGUGCCGACAACGGGUAGCCGGGUUGAGAGACCGACCGGCCAGAUUGGGACUGAGACACGGCCCAG
RNAcentral lists this ribosomal RNA (264 nucleotides) under uncultured bacterium. Its description in RNAcentral is "partial 16S ribosomal RNA". It matches the Rfam family "Bacterial small subunit ribosomal RNA", at positions 67 to 334 of the family's 1533-position model. The record is from RNAcentral.